CCAUCUGAUGUAUUGUUUAUGAUUUCUCUCACUAUCGUUCGCUUCGGCUUUUUCAGUAUCUUGUUGUUGCUGCUGCUUUAUUUCUUCUUUCCUAGAACGGAGUAUUUAUCGAAAAUAACCUUUUUACUGAAUUAUACUAUGUUAUAAUUAUUAUUAUUGUUGUUGUACCGAGUCAGACAAGAGGGGUUGCUCUGAUGGUAAGCAACUCCACUUCCAACCGAGAGGUUGUGAGUUUAAGUCUCCCCAGGUGGGAAGUUGUUGUAGGGAAGGAUGUCGGAGUCUAUUUGGAAACAGACUCUCUACCCAAGGUAGGUGUAAGGUCUGCGUACAUACUAUCCUAUCCAGACCUCACUAAGUGAGAUUAUAUUGGGUUGUUGUUGCACCGAGUCAUUUUUUUUAAUAAUCAUGGAUUCGAAUAAGCUUCUGCGUAGCUUCACUUGGUUCCUUACUUCGACAGGGUACAAAUAUCUAAAUUUAAUAUUUUUAGAUUUUAGAGCUACUUGUUAUUUUUCUGUGUUUCUGGAGUAAUAAGCUAGUCUUGAUUCUUUUUGGUUUUGCCUUUGGAGUUAGGGUCAAUAGCUUCUCUGUUCAUUAUUUGUAGAAUUUAUUGGAAUGUUGUUGUUGUAAUCAAAGGAUAGUUGUGUUUUUCACUGGAUUUAGUAAUGGCUAAGAAGGAAAGUUGGAGUCUUUGAAAACUCAAACCAGUUUUCUGAAUUUGACAAAAACAGAAAACAAAAAGUGAUCUUUCUUUUUUCUUGGAAAUAUAUGUGGGUUUUGGAUAUCAAGUCAUUGUUGAGGAUUUCCAAAUUUGAGAAAACCCCAGAAAAAGCUUUCUUUUUUUCCCUCAGUUUUCUUGGUAACCAAACAAGGCAGUACUAAUUAUGUUCCCUAGAAUUUAAUUAUAGCAUUGCUGUCAAUAUAUGGUGGAAAGUAGUGCAACACUUGCACUAAAACUGAUCAGUUACCAUAAAAUACUGCAGCAAGGGAA
RNAcentral lists this long non-coding RNA (988 nucleotides) under Nicotiana benthamiana. RNAcentral's name for it is "long non-coding RNA (NBEN_LNC002603)". The record is from RNAcentral. Lineage: Eukaryota; Viridiplantae; Streptophyta; Magnoliopsida; Solanales; Solanaceae.